UGGAUCUUGGAGUUUUCUUAUUUAUG
Molecule: non-coding RNA, 26 nt
Filed under: Mus musculus (house mouse)
Lineage: Eukaryota; Metazoa; Chordata; Mammalia; Rodentia; Muridae
Source: RNAcentral